Molecule: long non-coding RNA, 531 nt
Filed under: Rattus norvegicus (Norway rat)
Lineage: Eukaryota; Metazoa; Chordata; Mammalia; Rodentia; Muridae
Description: long non-coding RNA NONRATT015107
Source: RNAcentral
AUUUUAGUAUUAUUUUAUUUAUUUAUUCACUUAAUUGCAUUAUUUUUAACCAGUUGGUAGAUGUAAAGGACAUUCCUUCACCAGUGGUAUUACCUUUAAAUUUUUGCUUGAUGUACACAUACUAAAAGUUUGAAUUGUUCUGAUGCCCAUUUUCUAUUAAUGGCACAGUAAGAAAAUGUCUGUGACUCAAGGUCAUAAAAAAGAUGAUUAUUUGGUUCUCAGGGUUCAAAAGAAAAAGCCCUGAGUAUGUCAGUUCUGAUGGGGCCAAGGCCCAAGUGUAGGUUCUUUAAUCUUUUUUAAUGAAUUUUGAAUAUUCUUUUUUAAAUGCAGUGUUAUUUCUCUAGGUCAUGCAAGAGGCCAUUUACAGCAGAAGAACCAUAAAAACGAAAGUUAAGAAUAGGGCUUUGUGCAGUCAAGUGGAUUUACAGCUGAGCUAAGCAUCAGACUAUGUCGCUUAAAGUUCACACAAUUAACCUGUAAUAUAAAUAAACAAGAAAGAGUUCAAAGUAUCCAAACAAAUUAUAGUUUUGG